This 272-nucleotide unclassified non-coding RNA is filed under the name Rickettsia canadensis. The record is from RNAcentral. Lineage: Bacteria; Pseudomonadati; Pseudomonadota; Alphaproteobacteria; Rickettsiales; Rickettsiaceae.
CUGUGAGAUUACAUAUGUAUAUAGUAUUAAUGCUGCAAGAAUGUAGUAUCAACUCACAAAGUUAUCAGGUUUUAUAUAUAUAGCUUUAUCAAUGAAUAAAGAUGUUGUUGUAUGACUUAAUUUGUUAUAGGCUUUGACCACAAUAUCUAGUAAAWAUUACUUUGCUGAGUAUCGUAGUAAAAGUUAGGGUAUAUAGUGUUAAGACUUUUUUAGAGUUGUACCACAAUAUUUUCUAUCUUUUGAAAAGCUGUCUCUGUAUUGAUAGCUUGUGC